RNAcentral lists this small nucleolar RNA (68 nucleotides) under Caenorhabditis brenneri. Its description in RNAcentral is "snoRNA CBN34310". The record is from RNAcentral. Lineage: Eukaryota; Metazoa; Nematoda; Chromadorea; Rhabditida; Rhabditidae.
UUGCAGCUGAGUUCGAGAAGUUUCUCCCGUGAGAGAUAUAUUUAUCAAAUGUUGCGAAAGUGACAAUG